Molecule: ribosomal RNA, 224 nt
Filed under: uncultured bacterium
Lineage: Bacteria
Description: partial 16S ribosomal RNA
Rfam family: Bacterial small subunit ribosomal RNA
Source: RNAcentral
UACAGAGGGUGCGAGCGUUGUCCGGAAUCAGUGGGCGUAAAGGGCGCGUAGGUGGUGGCUUAAGCGUGCGGUGAAAGCUCGGGGCUCAACCCCGAGUCGGCCGUGCGAACUGGGCUCACUGGAGCAUAGUAGAGGCAGGUGGAAUUCCGGGUGUAGCGGUGGAAUGCGUAGAGAUCCGGAAGAACACCGGUGGCGAAGGCGGUCUGCUGGGCAGUAGCUGGACA